Molecule: ribosomal RNA, 1343 nt
Filed under: uncultured bacterium
Lineage: Bacteria
Description: 16S ribosomal RNA
Rfam family: Bacterial small subunit ribosomal RNA
Source: RNAcentral
GACGAACGCUGGCGGCGUGCUUAACACAUGCAAGUCGAACGGAAAGGCCCUGCUUUUGUGGGGUGCUCGAGUGGCGAACGGGUGAGUAACACGUGAGUAACCCGCCCUUGACUUUGGGAUAACUUCAGGAAACUGGGGCUAAUACCGGAUAGGAGCUCCUGCUGCAUGGUGGGGGUUGGAAAGUUUCGGCGGUUGGGGAUGGACUCGCGGCUUAUCAGCUUGUUGGUGGGGUAGUGGCUUACCAAGGCUUUGACGGGUAGCCGGCCUGAGAGGGUGACCGGCCACAUUGGGACUGAGAUACGGCCCAGACUCCUACGGGAGGCAGCAGUGGGGAAUAUUGCACAAUGGGCGGAAGCCUGAUGCAGCAACGCCGCGUGCGGGAUGACGGCCUUCGGGUUGUAAACCGCUUUCGCCUGUGACGAAGCGUGAGUGACGGUAAUGGGUAAAGAAGCACCGGCUAACUACGUGCCAGCAGCCGCGGUGAUACGUAGGGUGCGAGCGUUGUCCGGAUUUAUUGGGCGUAAAGGGCUCGUAGGUGGUUGAUCGCGUCGGAAGUGUAAUCUUGGGGCUUAACCCUGAGCGUGCUUUCGAUACGGGUUGACUUGAGGAAGGUAGGGGAGAAUGGAAUUCCUGGUGGAGCGGUGGAAUGCGCAGAUAUCAGGAGGAACACCAGUGGCGAAGGCGGUUCUCUGGGCCUUUCCUGACGCUGAGGAGCGAAAGCGUGGGGAGCGAACAGGCUUAGAUACCCUGGUAGUCCACGCUGUAAACGGUGGGUACUAGGUGUGGGGUCCAUUCCACGGGUUCCGUGCCGUAGCUAACGCUUUAAGUACCCCGCCUGGGGAGUACGGCCGCAAGGCUAAAACUCAAAGGAAUUGACGGGGCCCCGCACAAGCGGCGGAGCAUGCGGAUUAAUUCGAUGCAACGCGUAGAACCUUACCUGGGUUUGACAUGGAUCGGGAGUGCUCAGAGAUGGGUGUGCCUCUUUUGGGGUCGGUUCACAGGUGGUGCAUGGCUGUCGUCAGCUCGUGUCGUGAGAUGUUGGGUUAAGUCCCGCAACGAGCGCAACCCUUGUUCACUGUUGCCAGCACGUUAUGGUGGGGACUCAGUGGAGACCGCCGGGGUCAACUCGGAGGAAGGUGGGGAUGACGUCAAGUCAUCAUGCCCCUUAUGUCCAGGGCUUCACGCAUGCUACAAUGGCUGGUACAGAGAGUGGCGAGCCUGUGAGGGUGAGCGAAUCUCGGAAAGCCGGUCUCAGUUCGGAUUGGGGUCUGCAACUCGACCUCAUGAAGUCGGAGUCGCUAGUAAUCGCAGAUCAGCAACGCUGCGGUGAAUACAUUCCCGGG